RNAcentral lists this ribosomal RNA (484 nucleotides) under uncultured organism. RNAcentral's name for it is "SSU rRNA". It matches the Rfam family "Bacterial small subunit ribosomal RNA", at positions 31 to 509 of the family's 1533-position model. The record is from RNAcentral.
GAACGCUAGCGGCAGGCUUAACACAUGCAAGUCGAGGGGCAGCGCGGGGUAGCAAUACUCUGGCGGCGACCGGCGAAAGGGUGAGUAACGCGUGAGCAACAUGCCCGAUAGAGGGGGAUAGUCAUUGGAAACGAUGCGUAAUACCCCGUAACAUUCGGAACCGCAUGAUUCUGAAUUGAAAGAUUUAUUGCUAUCGGAUUGGCUCGCGUACCAUUAGCUAGUUGGCGGGGUAACGGCCCACCAAGGCGACGAUGGUUAGGGGUUCUGAGAGGAAGGUCCCCCACAUUGGAACUGAGACACGGACCAGACUCCUGCGGGAGGCAGCAGUAAGGGAUAUUGGGCAAUGGGCGCAAGCCUGAACCAGCCAUGCCGCGUGCAGGAAUGAGGCCCUAUGGGUCGUAAACUGCUUUUGCUGCGGAGCAAUAAGGGUUACGUGUAAUCUGAUGAGAGUACGCAGCGAAUAAGCAUCGGCUAACUCCGUGCC